RNAcentral lists this ribosomal RNA (372 nucleotides) under uncultured organism. RNAcentral's name for it is "bacterial SSU rRNA". It matches the Rfam family "Bacterial small subunit ribosomal RNA", at positions 526 to 896 of the family's 1533-position model. The record is from RNAcentral.
CGAAGGGGGCUAGCGUUGCUCGGAAUCACUGGGCGUAAAGGGCGCGUAGGCGGCCCUGUUGGUCGGGCGUGAAAUCCCCGGGCUCAACCCGGGGGCUGCGCCCGAAACGGCGGGGCUGGAGGCAAGGAGAGGCUCGCGGAAUUCCCAGUGUAGAGGUGAAAUUCGUAGAUAUUGGGAAGAACACCGGUGGCGAAGGCGGCGAGCUGGCCUUGAACUGACGCUGAGGCGCGACAGCGUGGGGAGCAAAACAGGAUUAGAUACCCUGGUAGUCCACGCCGUAAACGAUGUGCGCUGGGUGUUGGGGGGCCUAGCCCCUCAGUGCCGCAGCCAACGCGGUAAGCGCACCGCCUGGGGAGUACGGCCGCAAGGUUG